RNAcentral lists this ribosomal RNA (339 nucleotides) under Triticum aestivum (bread wheat). RNAcentral describes it as "partial small subunit ribosomal RNA". Lineage: Eukaryota; Viridiplantae; Streptophyta; Magnoliopsida; Poales; Poaceae. The record is from RNAcentral.
AUGUCGACCGACGCCGACCGUGCCUCCGCUGAGAAGGCCGCCGAGGAUGCCGCGGCUACUGCCGCCGCCACCGCCGCCGCAUGGCCGAUUGGAUGGUAUACAUCGUUUAUCCCUUUCAUGUUUCUUUCUGUUGUAGCAGUACUAGCGAUAUGCGUAGAUGUUUCUACUAUAUGCGUAGUACAUGCUCUGUUAGAUCGUAACCAAUAUGUUAUCAAUACUGUCAAUGUCAUGCUCAUGAUUUAUUCAUGGAUUAAUUUAAUCGGAAAACUGCCUAUUUUCUUAUCAAAUGCAACUGACACAGCACCUGUCAUGAGAUCUGGCCACCAAAUAAUAACUUGA